AUUGAACGCUGGCGGCAUGCUUUACACAUGCAAGUUGAACGGUAACAGGCCGCAAGGUGCUGACGAGUGGCGAACGGGUGAGUAAUGCAUCGGAACGUGCCCAGUCGUGGGGGAUAACUACUCGCAAGAGUAGCUAAUACCGCAUACGAUCUAUGGAUGAAAGCGGGGGACCGUAAUGCCUCGCGCGAUUGGUGCGGCCGAUGUCAGAUUAGGUAGUUGGUGGGGUAAAGGCUCACCAAGGCAACGAUCUGUAGCUGGUCUGAGAGGACGACCAGCCACACUGGGACUGAGACACGGCCCAGACUCCUACGGGAGGCAGCAGUGGGGAAUUUUGGACAAUGGGCGCAAGCCUGAUCCAGCAAUGCCGCGUGCAGGAAGAAGGCCUUCGGGUUGUAAACUGCUUUUGUACGGAACGAAACGGCUCUGGUUAAUACCCGGGGCUAAUGACGGUACCGUAAGAAUAAGCACCGGCUAACUACGUG
Molecule: ribosomal RNA, 482 nt
Filed under: uncultured bacterium
Lineage: Bacteria
Description: partial 16S ribosomal RNA
Rfam family: Bacterial small subunit ribosomal RNA
Source: RNAcentral